GCGUUAACGAACGAGACCUUAACCUGCUAAAUAGCCCGUAUUGCUUUGGCAGUACGCUGGCUUCUUAGAGGGACUAUCCGCUCAAGCGGAUGGAAGUUUGAGGCAAUAACAGGUCUGUGAUGCCCUUAGAUGUUCUGGGCCGCACGCGCGCUACACUGACGGGUUCAUCGAGCUAAGCGUUUGUUACCUUGACUGACAGGUCUGGGGAAUCUUUGGAAUGCCCGUCGUGCUGGGGAUAGACCCUUGGAAUUAUGGAUCUUGAACGAGGAAUUCCUAGUAAACGCAAGUCAUCAGCUUGCAUUGAUUACGUCCCUGCCCUUUGUACACACCGCCCGUCGCUAGUACCGAUUGAAUGGGUUA
RNAcentral lists this ribosomal RNA (360 nucleotides) under Eukaryota sp. RNAcentral describes it as "SSU rRNA". It matches the Rfam family "Eukaryotic small subunit ribosomal RNA", at positions 1325 to 1700 of the family's 1831-position model. The record is from RNAcentral.